CUAGCGACUUCAGAGUUUGAUCCUGGCUCAGGAUGAACGCUGGCGGCGUGCAUAACACAUUCAAGUCGAACGGUGAAGGGACUUCGGUCCCGGAUCAGUGGCGGACGGGUGAGUAACGCGUGAGUAACCUGCCUAUGCGUGUGGAAUAACACAGGGAAACUUGUGCUAAUACCGCAUAACAUGUAGCCUUCGCAUGUGGGCUACAUCAAAGAGCAAUUGCGCAUAGAUGGACUCGCGUCUGAUUAGCUAGUUGGUGAGGUAACGGCUCACCAAGGCGACGAUCAGUAGCCGAACUGAGAGGUUGAACGGCCACAUUGGAACUGAGAAACGGUCCAG
This 336-nucleotide ribosomal RNA is filed under the name uncultured bacterium. RNAcentral's name for it is "bacterial SSU rRNA". It matches the Rfam family "Bacterial small subunit ribosomal RNA", at positions 1 to 334 of the family's 1533-position model. The record is from RNAcentral.